AGCAGUCGCCGCGGUAAAACGAAGGGUGCAAGCGUUACUCGGAAUUACUGGGCGUAAAGCGUGCGUAGGUGGUGGUUUAAGUCCGUUGUGAAAGCCCUGGGCUCAACCUGGGAAUUGCAGUGGAUACUGGGUCACUAGAGUGUGGUAGAGGAUAGUGGAAUUUCCGGUGUAGCAGUGAAAUGCGUAGAGAUCUGGAGGAAUACCGGUGGCGAAGGCGGCCCCCUGGACAAAGACUGACGCUCAGGUGCGAAAGCGUGGGGAGCAAACAGGAUUAGAUACCCCGGUAGUCCCUGUCUCUUAUAC
Molecule: ribosomal RNA, 303 nt
Filed under: uncultured bacterium
Lineage: Bacteria
Description: partial 16S ribosomal RNA
Rfam family: Bacterial small subunit ribosomal RNA
Source: RNAcentral